AUGAUGUAACAAUCUCUCCGCGCAUGUUCACAGUCUCCGGGUGGACGGUGUUUUCCUCUCCGCUCAGAGCUGAAGUGGGUCGGCUGUGUGUUCGCGAAAGACUUUCGUCUCUUCCGUCGGGAUCACUGUCUGCGGGCCGAAGAUAUCACUUUCCCAUCGUUAGACCUGCAGUGAGAGAUUUAUUGGAAGAAAAACCACGACUGAAGACAUGGGAACAGCAACAAGUGAACCAGCCCGAGAACUGAGAGCAUAAACAGGAGAGAACCCAUCUGACUCAGGGUUUCCAUUGAUUCAGUCAGGAGAAAGUCUGGUUAAAAAUGACAAAGAAUUAAUCUAUGGGAAUCUCGAACACCACACACCAGUUUUGCUGUCUCUAUCCAGAUAUUUAAGAAGUGGAACAAAGGAUUUCCUCGAUCUUCCUUCCUGCUCAGACUGUGGGGAGGGAUUCACUCAAUCAUCUGACUGACUGGCACGCCUGACAUUUUAAACAAGGGAGGAAACCCAUUCAUCUGAAGGGACAUCACCAAGUUGACACUGUGACGAGGCCAUUCACCUACUCUGUGAGUGAGAAGGGAUUCAGUCGGUCUUCCCACCUGUGGACACACCAGUAUAUCACACCGGGCAGAGGCUGGUCAUCUGCUGAAUUUGUGGGGAAGGAUUCACACGGUCAUCUGACCUAAUGGCUCACCAGGGAGUUCACACUCGGGAGCGGCCAUACACCUGCUCAGACUG
Hypanus sabinus (Atlantic stingray) is the source of this 732-nucleotide long non-coding RNA. RefSeq lists it as uncharacterized. The transcript has 3 exons. The record is from RefSeq and is a predicted model, not a curated record. Lineage: Eukaryota; Metazoa; Chordata; Chondrichthyes; Myliobatiformes; Dasyatidae.